GUGCUUGCUUCGGUAGCACAUAUACUAAAAUUGGAACAAUACAGAGAAAAUUAACAUGGCCCCUGCACAAGGAUAACACACAAAUUUGUGAAGCGUUCCAUAAAAAA
This 107-nucleotide small nuclear RNA is filed under the name Salvator merianae (Argentine black and white tegu). Lineage: Eukaryota; Metazoa; Chordata; Lepidosauria; Squamata; Teiidae. The record is from RNAcentral.